This is a non-coding RNA of Drosophila melanogaster (fruit fly), 267 nucleotides long. NCBI's taxonomy places the organism in Eukaryota, Metazoa, Arthropoda, Insecta, Diptera, Drosophilidae. The record is from Ensembl.
AACGGCACAACAAAAAUUCGACCAAGAACAGCAAACUAAAACAGACGGCGCGAAAGAGAAAGCAUGACAAUGGUUUUGUGAAAGACAAGAGGAAGAAAGGAAGCGGAAAGAGCAGAAUUGUGGACUUAGGUGGAGAAGGGGAUGAGAGCGAAGCACGUGAACUGAGAACUUGCGCACGAGAGAAAAACAACAGCAAUAAAAACAAAAGCCAAAAUACACCGCCCACGCAGCCACCAAAAACGCAAUGCACUUUGACUGCAGCCGAGG